RNAcentral lists this transfer RNA (76 nucleotides) under Bythopirellula polymerisocia. RNAcentral's name for it is "Planctomycetes bacterium Pla144 tRNA-Asn". It matches the Rfam family "tRNA". From Rfam's summary of the family: Transfer RNA (tRNA) molecules are approximately 80 nucleotides in length. Their secondary structure includes four short double-helical elements and three loops (D, anti-codon, and T loops). Further hydrogen bonds mediate the characteristic L-shaped molecular structure. tRNAs have two regions of fundamental functional importance: the anti-codon, which is responsible for specific mRNA codon recognition, and the 3' end, to which the tRNAs corresponding amino acid is attached (by aminoacyl-tRNA synthetases). tRNAs cope with the degeneracy of the genetic code in two manners: having more than one tRNA (with a specific anti-codon) for a particular amino acid; and 'wobble' base-pairing, i.e. permitting non-standard base-pairing at the 3rd anti-codon position. The record is from RNAcentral. Lineage: Bacteria; Pseudomonadati; Planctomycetota; Planctomycetia; Pirellulales; Lacipirellulaceae.
UGCGGUGGGUCCUGUGUUGGUACGGGAGGGCGACUGUUAAUCACUUAGACGCAGGUUCGAUUCCUGCCUCCGCAGC